This 72-nucleotide transfer RNA is filed under the name Felis catus (domestic cat). It matches the Rfam family "tRNA". From Rfam's summary of the family: Transfer RNA (tRNA) molecules are approximately 80 nucleotides in length. Their secondary structure includes four short double-helical elements and three loops (D, anti-codon, and T loops). Further hydrogen bonds mediate the characteristic L-shaped molecular structure. tRNAs have two regions of fundamental functional importance: the anti-codon, which is responsible for specific mRNA codon recognition, and the 3' end, to which the tRNAs corresponding amino acid is attached (by aminoacyl-tRNA synthetases). tRNAs cope with the degeneracy of the genetic code in two manners: having more than one tRNA (with a specific anti-codon) for a particular amino acid; and 'wobble' base-pairing, i.e. permitting non-standard base-pairing at the 3rd anti-codon position. Lineage: Eukaryota; Metazoa; Chordata; Mammalia; Carnivora; Felidae. RNAcentral also lists the same sequence under 1 other name. The record is from Rfam by way of RNAcentral.
ACCUGCUGGCUCAGUCAGUAGAGCAUGAGACUCUUGAUCUUGGGGUCAUGAGUUUGAGCCCCAUGUUGGGUG